CCUACGGGAGGCAGCAGUGGGGAAUAUUGCGCAAUGGGCGAAAGCCUGACGCAGCGACGCCGCGUGAGGGAUGAAGGUCUUCGGAUCGUAAACCUCUGUCAGCAGGGAAGAACGGUCACUGUGCUAAUCAGCAGUGAAUUGACGGUACCUGCAAAGGAAGCACCGGCUAACUCCGUGCCAGCAGCCGCGGUAAUACGGAGGGUGCGAGCGUUAAUGGGAAUUACUGGGCGUAAAGCGCUCGUAGGCGGUAUGUCAAGUCAAGGGUGAAAUCCCCGCGCUCAACGUGGGAACUGCCUUUGAAACUGGCAAACUGGAGUGUGUGAGAGGAUAGUGGAAUUCCAGGUGUAGGAGUGAAAUGCGUAGAUAUCUGGAGGAACAUCAGUGGCGAAGGCGACUAUCUGGCACAUAACUGACGCUGAGGAGCGAAAGCGUGGGUAGCAAACAGGAUUAGAUACCCUAGUAGUC
RNAcentral lists this ribosomal RNA (465 nucleotides) under uncultured bacterium. Its description in RNAcentral is "partial 16S ribosomal RNA". It matches the Rfam family "Bacterial small subunit ribosomal RNA", at positions 338 to 795 of the family's 1533-position model. The record is from RNAcentral.